This 314-nucleotide long non-coding RNA is filed under the name Capsicum annuum. RNAcentral describes it as "long non-coding RNA (CANN_LNC001385)". Lineage: Eukaryota; Viridiplantae; Streptophyta; Magnoliopsida; Solanales; Solanaceae. The record is from RNAcentral.
GUAUGUGAGUAAUAACCUGGAGAUUGCAAGUUUGUAGAACACUCUAUAUGUGCUCAUCUUCCCAUUUGUACUUUCUGAACUGUAGCAGGCUUCACAAUAGAUUAGUCGAGAUACACCUGAACAACACCAUUUAAAAAGUUCUAGGGCGGGGUAGGGAAUUGUGGAUGGGUAAUCAUUGCCCGGAGAACUGUAUUAACUGAAUUUGAGGUGACUUACUACUUAUUGUUUGACCUUCCGACAGAAAAAAAAGAAACCAAAAAGAGAUUCAGCGUCUAGUGUUUUACCGAAAACAAUAUUCCAUUUCUUUUAAUUUG